RNAcentral lists this ribosomal RNA (254 nucleotides) under uncultured bacterium. RNAcentral's name for it is "partial 16S ribosomal RNA". It matches the Rfam family "Bacterial small subunit ribosomal RNA", at positions 524 to 776 of the family's 1533-position model. The record is from RNAcentral.
UACGGAGGAUCCAAGCGUUAUCCGGAUUCAUUGGGUUUAAAGGGUGCGUAGGCGGAAUGAUAAGUCAGUGGUGAAAGCCUGCAGCUUAACUGCAGAACUGCCAUUGAUACUGUCAAUCUUGAGUAUAUUUGAUGUGGGCGGAAUGUGUCAUGUAGCGGUGAAAUGCUUAGAUAUGACACAGAACACCGAUUGCGAAGGCAGCUCACAAAACUAUAACUGACGCUGAGGCACGAAAGUGCGGGGAUCAAAACAGG